UAAGACGAACCGUGCGAACGUUGUUCGGAAUCACUGGGCUUAAAGGGCGCGUAGGCGGCUUGUCAAGUCGGGGGUGAAAUCCGGCAGCUUAACUGUCGAAGUGCCUUCGAUACUGGCAAGCUCGAGGGAGGUAGGGGUCUGUGGAACUUCUGGUGGAGCGGUGAAAUGCGUUGAUAUCAGAAGGAACGCCGGUGGCGAAAGCGACGGACUGGAUCUCUUCUGACGCUGAGGCGCGAAAGCUAGGGGAGCAAACGGGAUUAGAUACCCCGGUAGUCCUAGCCCUAAACGAUGGGUACUAGGUUGUGGACUAACAUGGGUUCACAGCCGAAGCAAAAGUUUUAAGUACCCCGCCUGGGGAGUAUGGUCGCAAGGCUG
Molecule: ribosomal RNA, 375 nt
Filed under: uncultured bacterium
Lineage: Bacteria
Description: bacterial SSU rRNA
Rfam family: Bacterial small subunit ribosomal RNA
Source: RNAcentral